UCAGGAUGAACGCUGGCGGCGUGCUUAACACAUGCAAGUCGAACGAGGGUGCUGGUUGAAGUUUCGGAUGGAACCGGUAAUUCCUAGUGGCGGACGGGUGAGUAACGCGUGGGGAACCUGCCCCGCUCCGGGGGAUACCAGCUGGAAACGGCUGUUAAUACCGCAUAAGCGCACAGCAUUGCAUGAUGCAGUGUGAAAAACUCCGGUGGAACGGGAUGGCCCCGCGUCUGAUUAGCCAGUUGGCAGGGUAACGGCCUACCAAAGCGACGAUCAGUAGCCGGCCUGAGAGGGCGACCGGCCACAUUGGGACUGAGACACGGCCCAAACUCCUACGGGAGGCAGCAGUGGGGAAUAUUGCACAAUGGGGGAAACCCUGAUGCAGCGACGCCGCGUGAGUGAGGAAGUAUUUCGGUAUGUAAAGCUCUAUCAGCAGGGAAGAAGAUGACGGUACCUGCACAAGAAGCCCCGGCUAACUACGUGCCAGCCGCCGC
This 491-nucleotide ribosomal RNA is filed under the name uncultured bacterium. Its description in RNAcentral is "bacterial SSU rRNA". It matches the Rfam family "Bacterial small subunit ribosomal RNA", at positions 24 to 518 of the family's 1533-position model. The record is from RNAcentral.